RNAcentral lists this ribosomal RNA (253 nucleotides) under uncultured bacterium. RNAcentral's name for it is "partial 16S ribosomal RNA". It matches the Rfam family "Bacterial small subunit ribosomal RNA", at positions 524 to 776 of the family's 1533-position model. The record is from RNAcentral.
UACGGAGGUGGCAAGCGUUGCUCGGAAUCACUGGGCGUAAAGGACGCGUAGGCGGGGAGGUAAGUCGGGUGUGAAAUCCCUCGGCCCAACCGAGGAACUGCGCCCGAGACUGCUUCUCUUGAGUCCCGGAGAGGAAGAUGGAAUUCCCGGUGUAGCGGUGAAAUGUGUAGAGAUCGGGAGGAACACCGGUGGCGAAGGCGGUCUUCUGGACGGUGACUGACGCUGAGGCGCGAAAGCGUGGGGAGCAAACGGG